RNAcentral lists this ribosomal RNA (203 nucleotides) under uncultured bacterium. RNAcentral describes it as "partial 16S ribosomal RNA". It matches the Rfam family "Bacterial small subunit ribosomal RNA", at positions 524 to 727 of the family's 1533-position model. The record is from RNAcentral.
UACAGAGGGUGCGAGCGUUAAUCGGAAUUACUGGGCGUAAAGCGUGCGUAGACGGUAGCGUAAGUCAGAUGUGAAAGCCCCGGGCUCAACCUGGGAAUUGCAUUUGAGACUGCUCUGCUCGGGUGCGGAAGAGGGAAGCGGAAUUUCGGUGUAGCGGUGAAAUGCGUAGAUAUCGGAAGGAACACCAGUGGCGAAAGCGGCUU